AACGAACGCUGGCGGCAUGCCUAACACAUGCAAGUCGAACGAGACCUUCGGGUCUAGUGGCGCACGGGUGCGUAACGCGUGGGAACCUGCCCUUAGGUUCGGAAUAACUCCCCGAAAGGGGUGCUAAUACCGGAUAAUGUCUUCGGACCAAAGAUUUAUCGCCUUUGGAUGGGCCCGCGUUGGAUUAGCUAGUUGGUAGGGUAAAAGCCUACCAAGGCGACGAUCCAUAGCUGGUCUGAGAGGAUAAUCAGCCACACUGGGACUGAGACACGGCCCAGACUCCUACGGGAGGCAGCAGUGGGGAAUAUUGGACAAUGGGCGAAAGCAUGAUCCAGCAAUGCCGCGUGAGUGAUGAAGGCCUUAGGGUUGUAAAGCUCUUUUAACCGGGAUGAUAAUGACAGUACCGGGAGAAUAAGCUCCGGCUAACUCCGUG
This 433-nucleotide ribosomal RNA is filed under the name uncultured bacterium. RNAcentral describes it as "partial 16S ribosomal RNA". It matches the Rfam family "Bacterial small subunit ribosomal RNA", at positions 29 to 507 of the family's 1533-position model. The record is from RNAcentral.